CGCAAUGGGGGCAAGCCUGACGGAGCAAUGCCGCGUGAGGGAAGAAGGCCUUCGGGUUGUAAACCUUUGUUUUAUGGGAAGAUAGUGACGGUACCAUAAGAGGAAGCCCCGGCUAACUACGUGCCAGCAGCCGCGGUAAUACGUAGGGGGCAAGCGUUGUCCGGAAUUACUGGGCGUAAAGGGCGUGUAGGCGGUUUUUUAAGUUAGGAGUGAAAACUCGAGGCUUAACCUCGAGAGUGCUUCUAAAACUGGGAGACUUGAGUGCAGGAGAGGAAGGUAGUAUUCCUGGUGUAGCGGUGAAAUGCGUAGAUAUCAGGAGGAAAUACUCGUGGCGAAGGCGGCCUUCUGGCCUGUAACUGACGCUGAGKCGCGAAAGCGUGGGGAGCAAACAGGAUUAGAUACCCUGGUAGUUCCACGCCGUAAACGCAAUGUAGUUGUCUAAGUUGUUUGUGUAGUGUUCAUCGCAA
Molecule: ribosomal RNA, 467 nt
Filed under: bacterium LS1701/01
Lineage: Bacteria; Bacillati; Bacillota; Clostridia; Eubacteriales; Peptococcaceae
Description: bacterial SSU rRNA
Rfam family: Bacterial small subunit ribosomal RNA
Source: RNAcentral